GUUUCCGUAGGUGAACCUGCGGAAGGAUCAUUGUCGAAACCUGCCCAGCAGAACGACCCGCGAACACGUAUCAAACAUCGGGGGCCUGCGGGCCUCGUGCCCGUGCGCUCCCUCCCGCGCGCCGUGUUGGGCGUNGGACGCAUGCAGAAUCGCUUCUGCGUGCGUCCGCCCCCUCGCGGCGCGUUAACGAACCCCGGCGCGAAUCGCGUCAAGGAAAUCUGAACGAGAUAGCCCGCUCCCGUCGCCCCGGACACGGUGCGCGCGGRACGUGUGGCCUUCUUUCAUUAUCUAUAACGACUCUCGGCAACGGAUAUCUCGGCUCUCGCAUCGAUGAAGAACGUAGCGAAAUGCGAUACUUGGUGUGAAUUGCAGAAUCCCGUGAACCAUCGAGUCUUUGAACGCAAGUUGCGCCCCAAGCCAUUAGGCCGAGGGCACGUCUGCCUGGGUGUCACGCAUCGUUGCCCCCAUCCACGGAUCCAUCCUGUGGUCCCGCGGGUGUGGGCGGAGAAUGGCCUCCCGUGUGCCUGCGCACGCGGCUGGCCCAAAAAUCGAGUUCUCGGGCGACGCAUCCCGCGACAAUCGGUGGUGUUUUGAGAUAGAACCUAGUGAUCCCGUCGCGCGGGCUGCGUUGUCCCGUCCACGGACUCGUCGACCCUCGAGAGCGGGCGAAGGCCCGUUCGCAUCGCGACCCAGGUCAG
This 698-nucleotide ribosomal RNA is filed under the name Protorhus perrieri. Its description in RNAcentral is "eukaryotic LSU rRNA". The stretch from base 296 to 451 matches the Rfam family "5.8S ribosomal RNA". The record is from RNAcentral. Lineage: Eukaryota; Viridiplantae; Streptophyta; Magnoliopsida; Sapindales; Anacardiaceae.